Molecule: long non-coding RNA, 1352 nt
Filed under: Pogona vitticeps (central bearded dragon)
Lineage: Eukaryota; Metazoa; Chordata; Lepidosauria; Squamata; Agamidae
Description: lncRNA (ENSPVIG00000010825.1)
Source: RNAcentral
CUGUGGGGGCCCACCUAGCUCUGCAGUUCUAAGAUUUAUAACCAAAAGCAUUUUCCCCUGAAGUCUCUCCACUCCAAUUUGUCCUCCCAGUCAGUCAGAAUCUGGCAAACCAUUUCAGCCCUCCUGCCCCUCAUUCCAAGGGUCCCUGUCAUUUUGUUUUGCUUCUUCUCUCCUUUCCAACAGCGGAGAUAUACGAAUACUACUAUGAAUAUGAGGAUGAAUCCGAAGCCCAGCCCGCCGACCAACCGUUGUCACCUAUUGGCUUGUUCGAUGCCCGGCGCCGGCGCCGAAGAGAAGCCAAAGACCCCGGGCACCCUCGACGAGACAUCACCUACAACGUCUGCUUCUGGAGGCAACGUGGGAGUCACAUCACAGGCAUGGUGAUCGUUGACAUCACUUUGCUCAGCGGCUUCCAACCCGACGAAGGUGACCUUAACCAGGUAGCUGUUCUGGAGGAGAUGGUAAAAGGGGAUGCCCAGGCGAGGGUUCAGGCUAGCCUUUUGCACUGUCAACCCUUCUGAUCUCCAGACUCUGAUGCUCUUAGGAGGAGAUUCUCUGUUUUGUUGAACACAAAAGGGUAGAAAACACAGAGCAUGGCUCUGCCGCCCUGCACGAACCUCCAGCUUGUAGUUGUGUCAAUUGGAUAUGGUGCCACUAAAAGCUGUAGGGCCUCUGUGUGCAUCCACUGGAAACAGGACAACCACAAACACAAUGGGCUACUGUGCAUGUGGUGAAAGGAAAUAAGGUUUUAAAUUAAUUCAUUCAUUUUUACCCCACUUUUCUCCUUGUAGUGCAUGACAAAAUCACCCCGAGAGAACAAAAGGGAACCUCAUUUUUUGACCACCAUCACCCCCAUUUUUCCCCAUUAAAAAGCAAACGAGAUAGGGGUGCGUAAGAAUUACAUUUGUGGGGCCCUGGCAGUUUGUAUAGCCCAUGCCGCCCAUGCUCUAGAAUGCGGUUCAGAGAGGUCAUUUGCUUGUGGCCCAGGAAUGGAAACCUUACUCUACCUAUUUUAUUAAUUUUUUUACAUGUAUAGCCCAUCUUUCCUCAGCUGAGUUCAAGACUGCAUACAUGUCUCUCUCCUAUUUAUCUUCCCCACCAUCCCACAAAAUCCUGUGAAGCCGUUCAGCCUGAGAGAGGCUGACUCCCCUGUCCACUUGGUGCCUCAGAGAGGACUGGAACCUUGAUCUCCCAAAACCUGCAGUCCAACAUUCUAACCGUGAGCCUCACCCCACUUGCCUCCACUUUCCCCUCAUGUCUUCUCUUCCUGUCACCCAUCUUUUCAGCUUCGAGAUGUCCCUGAGCGAUACAUCAGCCACUGGGAGAUUCAAGGACGACGACUGCUUCUCUAC